This 509-nucleotide ribosomal RNA is filed under the name uncultured bacterium. RNAcentral's name for it is "partial 16S ribosomal RNA". It matches the Rfam family "Bacterial small subunit ribosomal RNA", at positions 28 to 506 of the family's 1533-position model. The record is from RNAcentral.
GACGAACGCUGGCGGCGUGCUUAACACAUGCAAGUCGAACGAAGAGCGAUGGAAGCUUGCUUCUAUCAAUCUUAGUGGCGAACGGGUGAGUAACGCGUAAUCAACCUGCCCUUCAGAGGGGGACAACAGUUGGAAACGACUGCUAAUACCGCAUACGAUCUAAUCUCGGCAUCGAGGAUAGAUGAAAGGUGGCCUCUACAUGUAAGCUAUCACUGAAGGAGGGGAGUGCGUCUGAUUAGCUAGUUGGAGGGGUAACGGCCCACCAAGGCGAUGAUCAGUAGGCGGUCUGAGAGGAUGAACGGCCACAUUGGGACUGAGACACGGCCCAGACUCCUACGGUAGGCAGCAGUGGGGAAUCUUCCGCAAUGGACGAAAGUCUGACGGAGCAACGCCGCGUGAGUGAUGACGGCCUUCGGGUUGUAAAGCUCUGUUAAUCGGGACGAAAGGCCUUCUUGCGAAUAGUGAGAAGGAUUGACGGUACCGGAAUAGAAAGCCACGGCUAACUACGU